UAGCUCGCGCCAUCCCCCGCAUCCCAUGCAUGGCGCGGACGAGGCUAUGAUUGUAGGAUUGGCAUAGGAAUUUUGGAGGAUUGGCUUUCCUAAGGAUUUUUUCCUAUCCAAGCCUUUGGUUCACAGAAAAGUAAAGGAAUCAUUCCUGAGGAUUGCAUUCCUAUGACCUGAUUCCAUAGGAAAAUAAACAUGAAGUCGGACCUCUUGGAACUUUUCCUAGCGCGAAAUCAGACUUGCGCGCGACUCACUAGUCCUCGUUCAUCUUCGCGCUCGCGCCAACGACAAACAGCCGCCGCCCCAUCGCCGGCUCGCGUGACGGCCACGCCUCGCUCAUGCUUAUUCAUCUUCACAUCGAGCCAGCGCUAAACGGCCAGCCCAUCGCCGGCUCGCGCGACGGCCACGGCAUCACCGCUGCACGGGACAGCACGACGCCCUCCCCAUCUCGCCAGGUAUCGAGUCGGCCUGCCCCAAUGCUGGCCACAGGAAGAAGUUCCGCGGCCAACGUGAGCGCUCGCGAUGGAGGGAGAGCGUUCUCUGCCACAGCGCCGGCGGCGAGAAAGCAGAGCAGACUAAAAACAGAGAGGUAGACUUUGACAAGAAACGGAUGAGGAUUGACGGUUGCUGGCCUGGGCGUCGGCAAGAGCGUGUGGAUAAGAAUGACCGAAGACAUGGUCCCACAGGCUGGAGUGUUCGGAUGUUAAGCAAACGUAACUGCCAAAGGCUAGCUGUUCAAAUUCCAAUUGAUGUACACAAUUCCUGUGUUUCACCUAAGCUCUUGCCAAAGGCAUUUUCCUUUGUUUCAAAUCCCAUAGGAUCAGAGGAGUAUGCCAUCUCUAUUCCUUUGUUUUUCCUUUUCCUAUCCUAUACCUAUACUGCAAUCCAAAGGG
This 887-nucleotide long non-coding RNA is filed under the name Sorghum bicolor (sorghum). Its description in RNAcentral is "long non-coding RNA (SBIC_LNC003623)". The record is from RNAcentral. Lineage: Eukaryota; Viridiplantae; Streptophyta; Magnoliopsida; Poales; Poaceae.